Molecule: long non-coding RNA, 659 nt
Filed under: Naja naja (Indian cobra)
Lineage: Eukaryota; Metazoa; Chordata; Lepidosauria; Squamata; Elapidae
Description: lncRNA (ENSNNAG00000000002.1)
Source: RNAcentral
GAAGUGCAGUUGAUGGUAGGGAAACAAAUAUCUUACAAGAUCUAUUACAUAUAUUUCAGAACCAGUCAAGAAACCAGAACCUCCACCUCCUGCUCCGGUCCCAGUCCCAGUCCCAGUCCCCAAAGUAGAAGAAGUUAUUCCAACCAAAGUUGCUGCCAAGAAAGCUGAAGAGAUCAAAGUGACAACUGUACUUAAGAAGAAGGAGCCAAUUUAUGAGAAAAAGGAAGAAAUCCAUGAGGUUCGCAAAGAAAUACAUGAAGAAUGGGAAGAGGAGUAUGGGGAGAAACAUGAAUACUAUGAAAAAGAAGAAGGUUAUGAUGAAGGGGAAGAGGAAUGGACAUAUGAAGAAAGAAAAGAGAAAAAACCACUUUAUCAGGAAGAAUGGGAAGAGGAGUAUGGGGAAAAACAUGAAUACUAUGAACGAGAAGAAGGUUAUGACGAAGGAGAAGAUGAGUGGGCAUAUACAGAAAAACAAGUAACCUACAAGAAAAAGCCAGUUUAUCAUGAAGAAGUGGUCCUAGUUCCUAAAAAGCCAGAACCUGUGCCAAAACGUCCAGAAAUUUCAGCCAAGAAAGAGGAAAAGAAAAAAAUUACGAUACAGAAAGGUUUGGACAUUAAAAUGAUAGCACUGCAGCAUGUUUCUUUUAAAAUUUGCUUUU